AACGAACGCUGGCGGCAUGCCUAACACAUGCAGGUCGAACGAGACCUUCGGGUCUAGUGGCGCACGGGUGCGUAACGCGUGGGAACCUGCCCUUAGGUUCGGAAUAACUCCCCGAAAGGGGUGCUAAUACCGGAUAAUGUCUUCGGACCAAAGAUGUAUCGCCUUUGGAUGGGCCCGCGUUGGAUUAGCUAGUUGGUAGGGUACAAGCCUACCAAGGCGACGAUCCAUAGCUGGUCUGAGAGGAUGCUCAGCCACACUGGGACCGAGGCACGGCCCAGACUCCUACGGGAGGCAGCAGUGGGGAAUAUUGGACAAUGGGCGAAAGCCUGAUCCAGCAAUGCCGCGUGAGUGAUGAAGGCCUUAGGGUUGUAAAGCUCUUUUACCCGGGAUGAUAAUGACGGUACCGGGAGAAUAAGCUCCGGCUAACUCCGUG
This 433-nucleotide ribosomal RNA is filed under the name uncultured bacterium. RNAcentral's name for it is "partial 16S ribosomal RNA". It matches the Rfam family "Bacterial small subunit ribosomal RNA", at positions 29 to 507 of the family's 1533-position model. The record is from RNAcentral.